CAGUAGGGGAUCUGAGAGGAUUAACCCCCACACGGAUACUGAGACACGGAUCCGACUCCUACGGGAGGCAGCAGUAAGGAAUAUUGGACAAUGCCCGCAAGGGUGAUCCAGCCAUGCCGCGUGCAGGAAGACGGCCCUAUGGGUUGUAAACUGCUUUUAUACCGGAGAAAACCUCCCCUCGUGAGGGGAGCUGAUAGUAUGGUAAGAAUAAGCAUCGGCUAACUUCGUGCCAGCAGCCGCGGUAAGACGAAGGAUGCAAGCGUUAUCCGGAUUCAUUGGGUUUAAAGGGAGCGUAGGUGGCCUUAUAAGUCAGUGGUGAAAUCUCUGGGCUUAACCCAGAAAUUGCCAUUGAUACUGUAGGGCUUGAGUAUAGUUGCCGUUGGCGGAAUAUGACAUGUAGUGGUGAAAUACAUAGAGAUGUCAUAGAACACCGAUUGCGAAGGCAGCUGACGAAACUAUAACUGACACUGAGGCUCAAAAGUGCGGGGAUCAAACAGGAUUAGAUACCCUGGUAGUCCGCACUGUAAACGAUGAUUACUCGCUGCUAGAGGGCAACUUUUAGUGGCUUAGCGAAAGCGAUAAGUAAUCCACCUGGGGAGUACGCCGGCAACGGUGAAACUCAAAGGAAUUGACGGGGGCCCGCACAAGCGGAGGAGCAUGUGGUUUAAUUCGAUGAUACGCGAGGAACCUUACCAGGGCUUGAAAGUUAGUGACCGGAUCUGAAAGGAUUCUUUCCGCAAGGACACGAAACUAGGUGCUGCAUGGCUGUCGUCAGCUCGUGCCGUGAGGUGUUGGGUUAAGUCCCGCAACGAGCGCAACCCCUACCAUUAGUUGCCAGCGGUUCGGCCGGGGACUCUAGUGGAACUGCCCGCGCAAGCGGUGAGGAAGGUGGGGAUGACGUCAAGUCAUCACGGCCCUUACGUCCUGGGCUACACACGUGCUACAAUGGCUAUUACAGAGGGCAGCUACAUAGUAAUAUGAUGCAAAUCUUCAAAAAUAGUCUCAGUUCGGAUUGAGGUCUGCAACUCGACCUCAUGAAGCUGGAUUCGCUAGUAAUCGCGCAUCAGCAAUGGCACGGUGAAUACGUUCCCGGGCCUUGUACACACCGCCCGUCAAGCCAUGAAAGCUGGGAGUAUCUAAAGUCGGUAGCCGUAAGGCGCCGCCUAGGGUAAAACCGGUGAUUGGGGCUAAGUCGUAACAAGGUA
This 1205-nucleotide ribosomal RNA is filed under the name metagenome. Its description in RNAcentral is "bacterial SSU rRNA". It matches the Rfam family "Bacterial small subunit ribosomal RNA", at positions 281 to 1498 of the family's 1533-position model. The record is from RNAcentral.